GAAAUGCGAUAAGUAAUGUGAAUUGCAGAAUUCAGUGAAUCAUCGAAUCUUUGAAACGCACAUUGCGCCCGGCAGUAAUCUGCCGGGCAUGCCUGUCCGAGCGUCAUUUCAACCCUCGAACCUCCGUUUCCUCAGGGAAGCUCAGGGUCGGUGUUGGGG
This 159-nucleotide ribosomal RNA is filed under the name Scedosporium boydii. RNAcentral describes it as "partial 5.8S ribosomal RNA". The stretch from base 1 to 106 matches the Rfam family "5.8S ribosomal RNA", at positions 50 to 154 of the family's 154-position model. From Rfam's summary of the family: 5.8S ribosomal RNA (5.8S rRNA) is a component of the large subunit of the eukaryotic ribosome. It is transcribed by RNA polymerase I as part of the 45S precursor that also contains 18S and 28S rRNA. Functionally, it is thought that 5.8S rRNA may be involved in ribosome translocation. The record is from RNAcentral. Lineage: Eukaryota; Fungi; Ascomycota; Sordariomycetes; Microascales; Microascaceae.